UAGGGAAUCUUCCGCAAUGGACGAAAGUCUGACGGAGCAACGCCGCGUGAGUGAAGAAGGCUUUCGGUUCGUAAAACUCUGUUGUUAGGGAAGAAAAAAUGUAUAGUAACUAUAUACAAAAGAGACGGUACCUAACCAGAAAGCCACGGCUAACUACGUGCCAGCAGCCGCGGUAAUACGUAGGUGGCAAGCGUUGUCCGGAAUUAUUGGGCGUAAAGCGCGCGCAGGUGGUUUAGAAAGUCUGAUGUUAAAGCCCACGGCUCAACCGUGGAAGGGCAGUGGAAACUAAUAAACUUGAGUGCAGGAGAGAAAAGUGGAAUUCCUGGUGUAGCGGUGAAAUGCGUAGAGAUUAGGAAGAACACCGGUGGCGAAAGCGGCUUUCUGGCCUGAAACUGACACUGAGGGGCGAAAGCGUGGGGAGCAAACGGG
This 429-nucleotide ribosomal RNA is filed under the name Verrucomicrobiota bacterium. Its description in RNAcentral is "Verrucomicrobia bacterium partial 16S ribosomal RNA". It matches the Rfam family "Bacterial small subunit ribosomal RNA", at positions 355 to 776 of the family's 1533-position model. The record is from RNAcentral. Lineage: Bacteria; Pseudomonadati; Verrucomicrobiota.